UUUUAUUUGAGAGUUUGAUCCUGGCUCAGGAUGAACGCUGGCGGCGUGCCUAACACAUGCAAGUUGAGCGAUUUACUUCGGUAAAGAGCGGCGGACGGGUGAGUAACGCGUGGGUAACCUACCCUGUACACACGGAUAACAUACCGAAAGGUAUGCUAAUACGGGAUAAUAUAUUUGAGAGGCAUCUCUUGAAUAUCAAAGGUGAGCCAGUACAGGAUGGACCCGCGUCUGAUUAGCUAGUUGGUAAGGUAACGGCUUACCAAGGCGACGAUCAGUAGCCGACCUGAGAGGGUGAUCGGCCACAUUGGAACUGAGACAC
RNAcentral lists this ribosomal RNA (319 nucleotides) under Clostridioides difficile. RNAcentral's name for it is "bacterial SSU rRNA". It matches the Rfam family "Bacterial small subunit ribosomal RNA", at positions 1 to 327 of the family's 1533-position model. The record is from RNAcentral. Lineage: Bacteria; Bacillati; Bacillota; Clostridia; Peptostreptococcales; Peptostreptococcaceae.